Non-coding RNA from Leptonychotes weddellii (Weddell seal), 2593 nucleotides. Lineage: Eukaryota; Metazoa; Chordata; Mammalia; Carnivora; Phocidae. The record is from RefSeq and is a predicted model, not a curated record.
GGAAAGAGCAUGGGCCUUGGAGUGGAGUUUAGAGCCUGGUCUGACUAGUGGUGACCUUGGACGUGUUGACCCUGGGCGUCAGCGCCUCCUCUGCAUUAUGGGAACGACAGAACUGUCUCAACAGAUUCUCUUGAGGAUGAAGAGACGCUCUGUCUGCAGAACGAUGGGAAUGUGCGGCUCAUUCCUGCGACGAAAGGCACGCCGUUGGAUGACCGUGUGUGCGGAGUCUGGAGGAAGGGCCGCAGGGAACUUGCCUCUCAGCCUGCCGUGGACGUCUAGGGAAACAUCUACAAGGCAGACUUCCUUGUUUGCUAAUAUUGACCAUUGACCACCUUUUACCGCAGAAUUCUGAGCUUACAAAGAAGUGGAGAGAUGACAGGCGGUUGGAGGCAAAACAGAUCAACCUAAUUACCGUUAAGAACAUUGCUGUGAUGUCAGCCCCAGAUGCUCAUCUGCUUGGUCGCAAAGCCCGUGAUCUUGUUGGGUGGACCUGAGUCUCCCCACACUGGCGGCAGUGCUGGCCCGGCACCUGGGAGUCCAUACUGGUGCUGCUCACAUACCAGCUUGCUAUUUUUUGCUACGAAAAAGGCUUAAAUUGCAUCCUGUCCCACUUGCAUUCAGACCCCAAUAUCCCCUGGUAUUGUGUUCGAUUCUUAAUUCUUUGUGGCCAUGGGGUGGUAGAGUGUUUAAAGGAGGAGGGGGCGGGGGAAGGCACGCCUGGGUUAGGCUAUUGCAAAGGUCUGGGCGCCUUUACAAGCCGGUGCUCCCUGGUGAUGUCAUCAUGCCCAGCAGAUGACGAUGUUACUGUGUGCAGGAGGGGUCUGGGCGGGUGCACACAAUGGCCACCACCUCCCUUCCCAGAAAAAAAUGAGCAAACUGGUGUGGUUUCUUUCUUUUUUUUUUCUCUUCUUCUUUGAAAAAUGGAAAGAGAACUUUCUAAAAGGAUGUAUACUUCUAAGCUUUAGGUAGGAUUUAAAACAUUUGAAAGAGGCCAUAUCUCUUCUCAGGCUUAUAUUGUCUUUCCCCCUCUGCUGGGUUCAGCAGUAUCUACAGUCCCUCUCCUCUUAUUUCUUCUCUCCUUCCUUCCUUUCUUCCCUCUCUUCGUCCCUUCCUGUAUUGGCACCAGUUUAUUUAUUGAACAGCAUGGAAUUUUAAAACAACGUAACAUAAAUUAGGAAAAAUCACAUUUGUGCUUGUUAAAUGCAGAUAAGAUUCUAUUUCAAAAAAUGCCUUAAAAAAAAAGACUAGAAGGACAUAUGCCAAAAUGUUAGCAGUGGUUCUCACUGUUGGUAAGUAGGAUCUCAGAAUGACUUUUUCUUUUUGCGUUUCAUUGAUUUUAUUUUUAAAUUCAGCAUAUAACAAAAUUCACUCAUUUUGGUGUACAGUUCUGUGAAUUUUAGCAUUUGUAUAAAUUUGUGUAACCACCGUGUGUGGCUGCUUUCUCUGGUCCUUUCCUUCCCCAGGCCCUCCCUGCCUGACCUGGUUCUCCUACCUUUCAGCCCACUCCUUCCUGCUCCCCUCAGGAGCUUCUGCUUCUCCAGGUGCCUCUGAAAUGCUGGUGUUUAAGCCUUUUUUUUUUUUUUUCCAACAGGAAUUCUAUCCCAGGGGUGAUCUUACCCAUUCCUAUGGAUUCGGUUAGGCACCUUCAUACUGUCUCCUGGGGUCUAUCUCCACUCUAGACCUGUUUGAUCACAUCCCUUUUGGACAACACCAUGUGUCACAAAUCAAGCUCAUUUUCUCUUCCUGCUGUGGGUAUGUCUCUCAGAUCCAAAAUCUCUGUUAAUGGUGACACUGGAAACCUGGCCUCCCAAGCUAGACCCCUCAGAGGCAUUUUCACGCUGUUCCCACUGCCUCCCACAUAAUCAACAGGCCGACCCCUGUGUGUCGUGUUUUUGGCACACGCCUUGAUCCUCUGCCUCCUCUCCACCCUCCUUGUCCUUUGCCCUGAUCUUAUCUUGCCUGGGUCAUCUCGAAAACCUAAGUGAUCUCUUAAGUCUCUGGUUUCUCUUCUCUCUUGCCUGUCCUUUCUGUUGCCAACCUGGGCUGCCGCUGAAACACAGACAAUGUCAUUUCACUCCCAUGUGUAAAACCCUUCCAGAGCCACGGGAUGGCAUUCACAGGACUCCUGGUGACACCCAGGACUUUCACAACGGCCCCGUGACACUUCCUCAGCCCAUCUUCCUCUGCUGCCCCGGCCCACCUCCGAGCUUUGGCUCUGUGGCCCCAGCUGGGACGCUCUGAGGACCCCCGCACGUUCUUCCACCGGGCAGCCUUCUGCUCUGUGGUCCAUUUAGUUCAGAAUUUCCUCUUCUGCUCAGCUGUUCUCGGCGCUCUCGGGAACAUGGAGUUACUCUUUUGCGUUCUCCUGCAUGCUGACCAUUGGAAGGUGUGAGUUACUCCCCAGAAGCAAUCAGAAACCACAGGACCUUGAUGAUAGGAGGAAGAGUCAGAAGAUAACAGGAUGAUAUAGACCAAAGGAGGCUCCAACUAGGAAAUGGGGGGAAAAUAAAGGUUUAAAGACCAGAGCGGGGUGCCUGGGUGGCUCAGAUGGUUAAGCGUCUGCCUUCGGCUCAGGUCAUGGUCCCAGGGUCCU